AGUUGGUGGAGCGAUUUGUCUGGUUAAUUCCGAUAACGAACGAGACUCUAGCCUACUAAAUAGUAAGUCGAUCUUCACGUCGACCUUACUUCUUAGAGGGACAGACGGUGUCUAACCGUACGAAAUUGAGCAAUAACAGGU
This 141-nucleotide ribosomal RNA is filed under the name Metazoa environmental sample. RNAcentral's name for it is "partial small subunit ribosomal RNA". It matches the Rfam family "Eukaryotic small subunit ribosomal RNA", at positions 1296 to 1461 of the family's 1831-position model. Lineage: Eukaryota; Metazoa. The record is from RNAcentral.